UAAUAAGUGUUUUAUGGCACUUUUUAAAUCCAUAUCACCUUGUGUGCAAUGUCAGUCGAUCUUCUUCAUGGAGAUCGACCAAACAUCAACCUUUAUCUUUUAACUCUUUGUCUGAAAAAUAUUAUGAGUAAACAAUUCAAAAUA
Molecule: unclassified non-coding RNA, 144 nt
Filed under: soil metagenome
Description: partial internal transcribed spacer 1
Source: RNAcentral